UCAUAUUUUGCUCAUUUUACCUCAUUUUUUAUCUAACAGAUGAUGUUUUCACUUUUCAUGUAACAAAAAUUUACCACCAGUUUUCGAAAAAUGAACUAUUGAUAUUGCAAUUUAUGUACAAUUAUGAAUGAAUUAUUAAUGAUUUUGAAACAAAACAUAUAAGGAAACCAAUAUUCAAAUAACCAUCAGGGAAUAAUUUUCUUGAUUCGCCUGGUUACCAAAAAUCUCAGGUCGCCCUGCUUAUUUACUUACACUGUCUACAAAAUUGAGGUCAGACAAUGGGAUUUCCUAUCUCCUUAUUCAGAAUGAAGUGAUUUUCAUUCAUUUUUUUUGCUGCAGCAUCUGGAUAAAUGGAACUCAAAGUGUAUCGGUUGGAAGAAAUGAAGCCUGAGCUCAAUGUUGCUGUUGCUCUUGUUAUUAGCUUGCUCUGUAUUCAGCACUCAUUUUCUGAUGAACUUUCUGAUACUGCCCUAAAGAAGUGGAAAUGCAAAUGCUCUUCUUUCCAAGGAAACCAUAUAUACUCUCUAUCAAAUUGUUCCAAGUCAUGUGAUUGCCAUUCAGAUUCAGAAGAGAGUGCAUCCAUAUGGACAUGCAAAUGUGAUCCGAAUGGAUUUCCUAAAGUGACAGCAGAUGGCCAUAACCUUAAUUGUUUCAAUGCCUGCAGAUGUACCUGGGGAACUGACAGGAUGCCCCUUGUUUCAAAGAAACUAAGUUCGAGCAAGAUUGUGGUAGUUAUUCUAUCAAUGUGUCUUGUAAGCACAACUGUUGCAUUUCUUACCUCAGUUGUAUGUCAUGUCUGCCAGAGACGCAGCUUUCCUAUCCAAUCAUCAAUGAUAUCAUCAGAUAAAGAAACGAGUUACAAUAGUACCUCCAACUUAAUUAUUCAUAGUACUUCUUCAGUGCCAGAAACAAAAGUUGUUAUACAUUCUCCAAUUAGUCAUAUUAGAGGAUGCUUUCCGAAGGCCUAUUUGUUGUUUGGUAGCCAAAGAGAAACCUUUCAAGGAAAUAUUAUUCAAUUUUCGUUUGCUGAACUGGAAAAUGCCACUGAAAACUUUUCAGCUUCCAAUCUAAUUGGAUUUGGUGGAAGCAGUUAUGUAUACCGCGGUAGGCUAAAAGAUGGUAGUAAUGUGGCAGUCAAGAGACUAAAAGAUCAAAGAGGGCCUGAGGCAGACUCUGAAUUUUUCACAGAGAUUGAACUAUUGUCUAGGCUUCAUCAUUGUCAUCUGGUGCCAUUGGUGGGAUACUGCUCAGAAUUAAAAGGAAAAAAUGUUCAAAGGUUGCUAGUGUUUGAAUACAUGACUAAUGGAAAUUUAAGGGACCGCUUAGAUGGAAUUUUUGGAAAAAAAAUGGAUUGGUCUACUCGUGUUACGAUUGCAUUAGGAGCUGCAAGGGGCUUGGAAUAUCUUCAUGAGGCAGCUGCUCCAAGAAUUCUGCACAGAGAUGUCAAAUCAACCAACAUUCUUCUGGAUAAAAAUUUCCAAGCAAAAAUAACUGAUCUUGGUAUGGCUAAAAACUUGAGAGCUGAUGAUCACCCUAGUUGUUCAAAUUCUCCAGCAAGAAUGCAGGGAACAUUUGGCUAUUUUGCACCUGAGUAUGCAAUUGGAAGAGCCUCUCUUGAGUCAGAUGUCUUCAGUUUUGGAGUGGUUCUUCUUGAGCUUAUCAGUGGUCGGCAACCUAUCCAUAAAUCUGCAGGGAAAGAAGAAAGUCUUGUUAUAUGGGCAACUCCUCGCUUACAAGAUAGUAGGCGAGUAAUAAUGGAGUUGGUUGAUCCGCAAUUGAAAGGAAACUUCCCCCAAGAAGAGGUGCAUAUAAUGGCAUACUUAGCAAAGGAGUGCUUGUUGUUGGAUCCAGACACUAGACCAACAAUGAGUGAAGUUGUUCAAAUUAUUUCAAGUAUUUCCCCGGGCAAAUCUAGAAGGAGAAGAAGCAUUCCAGUGAGCCUUUUUCAGGAACUGGAGGAUGCAGAGAAGCAAAGACAAGAUCAAUCAAGUAGAUUUCUAUCUCAUAAUUUAUUGCCACUAAGCAAUGACUAUAAUAUUCAUUUUGUGAACGAAAAUAAAGAUGAACAUACAGCUUCAACUGAGCAUAUGGAGAGUUCGAUCCUCUUAUCUUCAAAAGGUGGUGGCUUUUGGAAUUUGAAUCAGGCUUUGAAUGGUAGAUGAGAGUAUGACUUGUGGAAUGGAUGGUUUGGACUAGUACAUAAGAAACCUAUGACUAUGUGACAUUGUGAACUUAUUCGUUGAACCGUAGAAGCAACCCUUGAAUACGUAGGUGAUGGAUCCACCUCCUCCUCCAACCACACCGUUGCUAAGGCCAGCUCCUCCUAGAAGAGGAUUCUUGGAUACAUGCUUAUGGUUUCUUUGCUGCUGUGGCCUAUUCAGUUGCUGCUUUCCUCCCCUUUUCGAGACAGGGCCUCCUCCACUUUAGACUCUACCCAAAAAUUAGAUACUUCAUCAUCACAUGCUCUUUGAUUAACUUAUAUCAAGUGUUACUAAUUUUUUUCGUAAACGGGAAAGUUUAAAUAUAUAUUAUCUAGAGAUCGAUUAAGAUUAUGAACACUUGGUAGUUGACUAUGUAAUAAUUUCUCAAACUCUAUGUCGAUUUGUUCUGUAAAACCAUUUUUAAUUUAAAAUUUAGGGUUUUCUUUUGGGGUGAAAACUAAUUUACCUUUUUAAGCAACAAUGUGGUUAUUUGGUUGGUUGUAGCUGUUGUAAACUCAAAUUUUGUGGCUUUCGUUUCCUUAUGGUUUGUAUUUGAGUUGGGAUGUGAAUUUGAAUGUCCUGCGUCAGUGUCGAAAUUCUAAACAUAGUUUUGUCA
Molecule: RNA transcript, 2817 nt
Organism: Cajanus cajan (pigeon pea)
Lineage: Eukaryota; Viridiplantae; Streptophyta; Magnoliopsida; Fabales; Fabaceae
Gene name: receptor-like serine/threonine-protein kinase NCRK
Source: RefSeq, a predicted model, not a curated record